AGUGAACGCUGGCGGUAGGCCUAACACAUGCAAGUCGAACGGCAGCACAGUAAGAGCUUGCUCUUACGGGUGGCGAGUGGCGGACGGGUGAGGAAUACACCGGAAUUUACUUUUUCGUGGGGGAUAACGUAGGGAAACUUACGCUAAUACCGCAUACGACCUACGGGUGAAAGCAGGGGAUCUUCGGACCUUGCGCGAUUGAAUGAGCCGAUGUCGGAUUAGCUAGUUGGCGGGGUAAAGGCCCACCAAGGCGACGAUCCGUAGCUGGUCUGAGAGGAUGAUCAGCCACACUGGAACUGAGACACGGUCCAGACUCCUGCGGGAGGCAGCAGUGGGGAAUAUUGGACAAUGGGCGCAAGCCUGAUCCAGCCAUACCGCGUGGGUGAAGAAGGCCUUCGGGUUGUAAAGCCCUUUUGUUGGGAAAGAAAAGCAGCAGGUUAAUACCCCGCUGUUCUGACGGUACCCAAAGAAUAAGCACCGGCUAACUUCGUG
Molecule: ribosomal RNA, 492 nt
Filed under: uncultured bacterium
Lineage: Bacteria
Description: partial 16S ribosomal RNA
Rfam family: Bacterial small subunit ribosomal RNA
Source: RNAcentral